RNAcentral lists this ribosomal RNA (563 nucleotides) under uncultured phototrophic eukaryote. RNAcentral describes it as "bacterial SSU rRNA". It matches the Rfam family "Bacterial small subunit ribosomal RNA", at positions 336 to 918 of the family's 1533-position model. The record is from RNAcentral.
UUCCUACGGGAGGCAGCAGUGAGGAAUUUUUUGCAAUGGGAGAAAGCCUGACAGAGCAACGCCGCGUGAGGGAAGAAGGCCUUCGGGUUGUAAACCUCUUUUCUCAAGGAGGAAGAUCUGACGUUACUUGAGGAAUAAGCAUCGGCUAACCCUGUGCCAGCAGCCGCGGUAAUACAGGGGAUGCAAGUGUUAUCCGGAAUUAUUGGGCGUAAAGGGUCUGUAGGUUGAAAUUUAAGUCUUUUGUUAAAUAUCAGGGCUUAACCCUGACUGUGCCAAAGAAACUAGGUUUCUAGAGUAUGGUAGAGGUUAAGGGAAUUUCCAGUGGAGCGGUGAAAUGCGUAGAUAUUGGAAGGAACACCAAAAGCGAAGGCACUUAACUGGGCCAUUACUGACACUGACAGACGAAAGCUAGGGGAGCAACCGAGAUUAGAUACCUCGGUAGUCCUAGCCUUAAACGAUGGGUACUAGAUGUUGGGUUUAUUACUCAGUGUCGUAGCUAACGCGUUAAGUACCCCGCCUGGGAAGUAUGCUCGCAAGAGUGAAACUCAAAUGAAUUGACGGAA